RNAcentral lists this long non-coding RNA (1017 nucleotides) under Pogona vitticeps (central bearded dragon). RNAcentral's name for it is "lncRNA (ENSPVIG00000007794.1)". The record is from RNAcentral. Lineage: Eukaryota; Metazoa; Chordata; Lepidosauria; Squamata; Agamidae.
AUGGAUGAUGACCAAGCGGCGGAGGUCAUCCAGGCUCACUACCGCCGGUACGUGACCCGGCGGGCCUUCGUUGAGACCAGGCAGGCGGCGGUCACCAUCCAAGCGCACUGGAGGGGCUACCGGGUCAGGCAGGAGAUGGACCUCCGGACGCGGCCCUCUGGCCCUGCUCGGAGCCCCCGGGCCGCUGGCUACGGCUACCGGCCUGGCCCUUCCGCCUGGGUGGGUCCCUACCCGAGGAAGCACUGGCGCAAGUGCCUGGUGGGAGACCCCGAAGAGUGGGCCAGCGUGCUGACCCCGGGCCAGCACCAGCCCAGGGAGCGACAGCGACGGACGCCGGACCGGACCAAGAGGUGCCCCGACUGCGGCCGGUGCACCAACGUCCGUGUGCUCGUCGGGGUGGGCAAGGGCUGGACCUCUGAGUCAGAGAUGGAGGAGGAGAGCGAGGGCGAGGGACGCGUCCUCCGCUCCCCUUCUAGACGGCGGCCGAAGCCCCGGGAGGCUCAGGACCGCCUCAGGCGGCACCCCGACCGGGGCCACGUGUCCUGCGAAGUCCACGGCAAAGCUCGCUACUCCAGCCCCUGGCAGGUGGGGACGGAGGACCAGCCCCGGAGGCCAGGGGGGAGACCCGGAGACCCUGGCCUGCACUAUGCCGCCACCGCCACCGCGCACACAUCAGUCCGGUUCACGCGGGAGCGGACGACCGUCCGGAGCCUCUCCUCCACCAGCCUGCAGCCGCCAGGCCCGUUCUCCCCAGGCGGCACCGACUGGCUGUACGAAAGCUUCGGGGCCCGCCGGGUGGGCGAAGGCCAGAAGCGGGUGUUCAAGACUAGGAAGCAGGUGUGGCAGAUAGCGCGGGCUGCCACGCUCAUCCAGUCCUUCUGGCGGGGCUGGAAGGUGCGCCAGGCCCUGCGGCUGCAGCAGGAGGCGGCCACCAAGAUCCAGUCCGCCUACCGGGGUUACAAGACCAGGAUGUACCUCUACGAGGUGGGAGUGCUGAGUGAAGGCGAUACAGAGUAA